Molecule: unclassified non-coding RNA, 1872 nt
Filed under: Hevea brasiliensis (rubber tree)
Lineage: Eukaryota; Viridiplantae; Streptophyta; Magnoliopsida; Malpighiales; Euphorbiaceae
Source: RNAcentral
GUUCCUCUCACUCGGAAUAAGAAACAAUUGACAUGUUACAAAAGUCAUAACCACCUCCAUCAGCGGCAGCAACACCACCACCCCCACCAGCAGUCACAGCCAAACGCGUCUACUCUCUGCUUCAAAAUCAAACCUCCAAACGAAAAACACAGUCAAGAAAACCAAAAAUGUCAGCCCUAAUCUACCAAUUAUUCUCCUCCUCAGCUCUCAUCUCUCUCGGUCUCUACCACCUCAUCUCCACCACCCGCAACUUCCUCAAAUCCCCUCAGUCUUUCUCCGCCAGACCCCACCACCCCCUCCCUUCCUCCUUCCCCCGUCUCAAACACCUCCAUCUCUUCCUCCUCAUCCUCUGCCUCCUCAUCGCCUUCACUCACCAAGCCCUAAUUUCCUCUGACUCCGAUCCUCUCCUCAAGGGCCGCACCCCUGUUCACCGCUUCACCUCCCUUCAAUCUGCCGCUCUUCUUUUCCUCUUUUUUAUUGUCUCUGUUGCUCUUCUUCUUUCUGAAUCUACUCCUCUUCUUCCUCUCCCUCCCGAUCUCUUCUUCGCUCUCGGUUCUGCUCUUUUUUUCUUGCAAUACUCCGUCUCUUCCUCUGCUGCUUCCGUUCAGACCUCCGAUCUCCAAGCCAAAUGCGAUUCUGUUUCUGCUCAAAUUUCCGCUGUUGUUGCUUUACUCUGCUUGAUUCUUGCCUUCCAGCCUAGGAUUUUCAUUGCUGAUGUUGGAUUGGCCGGCGCCAUUUGCUUGCAGGGCCUUUGGGUUCUUCAGACUGGACUUUCGCUUUAUGUUGAAGCGUUUAUUCCUGAAGGUUGUCAUCGGUUGCUUGAUGUGGUGAGUGGGGUUGAGGGUUCCACCAAGUGUGAUCUGGAGGAAUCUAGGUUGAGGGCGGUAGCUAUUUUGGAUCUUUUGUUUGUGGUUCACGUCAUGUUUGUGGUUCUCAUUGUUAUGGUUACGUACGCUGUUAUGGCUAGGACUUUUGGGGUCAGAAGAAUGGGGUCAUACGAGGCUUUGCCUACUACUGUUUCUGAUUCUAAUCAUAUUCAGAUGAAGGCCUUGACUGGCACCCAGGCUUGAUUUUUUGGACUUUGGCGGUGGUGCGCUUUCCCCUUUAGUCCCUCUCUUUCUUUGUUAAAAUAGAUUUUUCUUUUAAAAAAAAUUCUUUUGUUAUGAUUCUUGUGGUACUGGGGAAUCAUAUAUUGUGUCGCUUGUUUUAGCUUAUCUCAACACUGUAACCUCCUGGAAAUUGAGGGAUUUUUGUGCAUAGAAAGUGUCUCCUUUUUUAUUUGAUUAAACUAUUUGGCAGUGUCUUCACUGGAUUUUUUCUUUAUCUCACUUUGAGUACUAGCUUCUUUGAUAGUGCAAACUCCAAUGAUAUAAGGGAUAGAAAUUUAGUAAUGUGUUUGGAACUGGCUUACUCGUUAUCGAUCUUUAACCUUGCUUGCUUUGUUAUGCUUUAAACAAGUAAAAGUAAGUCUCUUGGCAUUUAAAUGAAGGAAUCGAUAUCUCCUGCACUAGAUUUUACUUGAUAUUGUUCAAAACAACUUGUUUAUAGAUUUACAAUUUGGUUAUUCAGUUGCUAAGUCUUCAAUAUUGCUUGUACCCAAGAUUACAUCUAUUAUGCACCAUGUUCAAUGAUGAUGAAUCUAAAGGUGGGUGUACUGCCUCAUUGUAGUUUGAUACAAAUUUGAGCAUGGGAUUUGGAGAUUCAUUGAAAUUGUGAGGCAGGGAAUGCAAGAUAGUGAAUUAUAUAGUAGGCUUUUUAUAAGACUUGAAAGUUAAUGGACUUUAUAUCACAAUGCAUUCUAAAUGCCUCUAUUCUAUGCUAUUGUUAUGGCAACUUAACUUUACUCUAGCAUAAGGGAAUACUACAUACUCA